UUUAAUGAUGCAGAGAAGGGCUGAUGCAUUGGUUGAUUUCCCCACCUUUUAAUCUACUCUCUUUUAACAGGUAUUCUAAGCCCCCCCCCACCCCCGUGCAUCAUAUGGGCAUUCUUGGGGGCGCAGAUUACAUCAGACCUGCACCUGAAUAAAUAAUAGGGACUGAAAUAUGCAGACACUAAAGUUCUGCAGCCAAAUUCUCAGGAACCUUCCUCUUCAAUAUAGGAUCAGGAUUUUGUUUUGAAUUGUUUUAUUUUUUUAAAAAGUGCUGAGCAGAUGCUACACUGUAAGAAAUGGAAACAGAAGCAAAAACUGAAAGACUGUUACUAAAACCAAUGAACAGCUGCAGAGAGUGGAGACCCGGCAAAGCAGACAAAUGAAUACUGAAAGGGAUCCCCAAAGGAGGUGCAAGGAUCCGGGACUCUAGUGUCUGCCAGAAGCUUCAGCCACCUUCACAGGUUAGAGCUCGCCGUCCAUUGCGGAGGUGAAGACCGGAUGGGAGCUGCUGGAUUGACCUUGAUGUGCCAUGUCCUUGUGUGGAUGAAGGACCUACAUCUCAGGGGUGGCCAGCAGCAGAUGUAACACCUGUGUCCAGGAA
Molecule: long non-coding RNA, 598 nt
Organism: Mauremys mutica (yellowpond turtle)
Lineage: Eukaryota; Metazoa; Chordata; Testudines; Geoemydidae
Exons: 3
Source: RefSeq, a predicted model, not a curated record